This 433-nucleotide ribosomal RNA is filed under the name uncultured bacterium. RNAcentral's name for it is "partial 16S ribosomal RNA". It matches the Rfam family "Bacterial small subunit ribosomal RNA", at positions 29 to 507 of the family's 1533-position model. The record is from RNAcentral.
AACGAACGCUGGCGGCAUGCCUAACACAUGCAAGUCGAACGAGACCUUCGGGUCUAGUGGCGCACGGGUGCGUAACGCGUGGGAACCUGCCCUUAGGUUCGGAAUAACUCCCCGAAAGGGGUGCUAAUACCGGAUAAUGUCUUCGGACCAAAGAUUUAUCGCCUUUGGAUGGGCCCGCGUUGGAUUAGCUAGUUGGUAGGGUAAAAGCCUACCAAGGCGACGAUCCAUGGCUGGUCUGAGAGGAUGAUCAGCCACACUGGGACUGAGACACGGCCCAGACUCCUACGGGAGGCAGCAGUGGGGAAUAUUGGACAAUGGGCGAAAGUCUGAUCCAGCAAUGCCGCGUGAGUGAUGAAGGCCUUAGGGUUGUAAAGCUCUUUUACCCGGGAUGAUAAUGACAGUACCGGGAGAAUAAGCUCCGGCUAACUCCGUG